UCCUACGGGAGGCAGCAGUGGGGAAUUUUCCGCAUUGGGCGAAAGCCUGACGGAGCAACGCCGCGUGAGGGAUGAAGGCCUCUGGGCUGUAAACCUCUUUUCUCAAGGAAGAAGAUCUGACGGUACUUGAGGAAUAAGCCACGGCUAAUUCCGUGCCAGCAGCCGCGGUAAUACGGGAGUGGCAAGCGUUAUCCGGAAUUAUUGGGCGUAAAGCGUCCGUAGGCGGCUUUUCAAGUCUGCUGUUAAAAAGUGGAGCUUAACUCCAUCAAGGCAGUGGAAACUGAUUGGCUUGAGUGUGGUAGGGGCAGAGGGAAUUCCCGGUGUAGCGGUGAAAUGCGUAGAUAUCGGGAAGAACACCAGUGGCGAAGGCGCUCUGCUGGGCCAUAACUGACGCUCAUGGACGAAAGCCAGGGGAGCGAAAGGGAUUAGAUACCCCUGUAGUCCUGGCCGUAAACGAUGAACACUAGGUGUCGGGGGAAUCGACCCCCUCGGUGUCGUAGCCAACGCGUUAAGUGUUCCGCCUGGGGAGUACGCACGCAAGUGUGAAACUCAAAUGAAUUGACGG
RNAcentral lists this ribosomal RNA (565 nucleotides) under uncultured bacterium. Its description in RNAcentral is "bacterial SSU rRNA". It matches the Rfam family "Bacterial small subunit ribosomal RNA", at positions 337 to 916 of the family's 1533-position model. The record is from RNAcentral.